GACGAACGCUGGCGGCGUGCUUAACACAUGCAAGUCGAACGGAAAGAGCCUGCUUUUGUGUGGUUUCCGCGUGGCGAACGUGUGUGAUACCUGUGAAUAUCCUUGCCUUUGCUUUGUGAUAACCUCAGGCAACUGGUGCUAAUACCUGCUUCGUGCUUCUGCUGCUUGGUGGUGGUUGGAAAUCUUCGGCGGUUGGGGAUGGACUCGCGGCUUACUAGCUUGUUGGUGGGGUAGUGGCUUACCAAGGCUUUGACGGGUAGCCGGCCUGAGAGGGUGAACGGCCACAUUGGGACUGAGAUACGGCCCAGACUCCUACGGGAGGCAGCAGUGGGGAAUAUUGCACAAUGGGCGGAAGCCUGAUGCAGCAACGCCGCGUGCGGGAUGACGGCCUUCGGGUUGUAAACCGCUUUAGCCUGUGACGAAGCGGGAGUGACGGUAAUGGGUAAAGAAGCACCGGCUAACUACGUG
Molecule: ribosomal RNA, 468 nt
Filed under: uncultured bacterium
Lineage: Bacteria
Description: partial 16S ribosomal RNA
Rfam family: Bacterial small subunit ribosomal RNA
Source: RNAcentral